RNAcentral lists this ribosomal RNA (433 nucleotides) under uncultured bacterium. Its description in RNAcentral is "partial 16S ribosomal RNA". It matches the Rfam family "Bacterial small subunit ribosomal RNA", at positions 29 to 507 of the family's 1533-position model. The record is from RNAcentral.
AACGAACGCUGGCGGCAGGCCUAACACAUGCAAGUCGAGCGGACCCUUCGGGGUUAGCGGCGGACGGGUGAGUAACGCGUGGGAAUAUGCCCUUCUCUACGGAAUAGUCCUGGGAAACUGGGGGUAAUACCGUAUACGCCCUUUGGGGGAAAGAUUUAUCGGGGAAGGAUUAGCCCGCGUUGGAUUAGGUAGUUGGUGGGGUAAUGGCCUACCAAGCCGACGAUCCAUAGCUGGUUUGAGAGGAUGAUCCGCCACACUGGGACUGGGACACGGCCCAGACUCCUACGGGAGGCAGCAGUGGGGAAUCUUAGACAAUGGGGGCAACCCUGAUCUAGCCAGGCCGCGUGAGUGAUGAAGGCCUUAGGGUUGUAAAGCUCUGUCAACUGGGAAGAUAAUGACGGUACCAGCAGAAGAAGCCCCGGCUAACUCCGUG